GCUUAAAGGGGCCGUAGCCGGUUCUGUAAAUCUCAUGUGAAAUCAUUAGGCCUAACCUAAUGGUGUGCAUAAGACACUGCAGAACUAGAGACUGGGAGGAGUCAGAGGUAUUUCCGGGGGAGCGGUAAAACAUACUCACUAGUGUUCUUAGUUGUAAAACACUAGGAGUGUUUACAGUGCUAUAAUCCCGGAAGGACCACCAGUGGCGAAGGCGUCUGACUAGAACAGGUCUGACGGUGAGGGACGAAAGCUAGGGGAGCGAACCGGAUUAGAUACCCGGGUAGUCCUAGCCGUAAACGCUGCGAGUUAGGUGUUGCGCAUUCUUCGGGAAUGCGCAGUGUCGUAAUGAAGAUGUUAAACUCGCCGCUUGGGGAGUACGGUCGCAAGGCUGAAACUUAAAGGAAUAGGCGGGGGAGCACUACAAGGGGUGCGGCGUGCGGUUCAAUUGAACUCAACACCGGGAAUCUCACCAGGACCGACAGCAGGAUGAAGGUCAGUCUGAAGGGCUUACCUGACAGGCUAAGAGGUGGUGCAUGGCCGUCGUCAGCUCGUGUCGUGAGAUGUCCUGUUAAGUCAGGCAACGAGCGAGACCUGUACCUAUAAUUGCCAGCGCAUGUUGAGCGGGCACAUUAUAGGAACUGCUCCGGAAACGGAGAGGAAGGUGCAGGCUACGGUAGGUCCGCAUGCCCCGAA
Molecule: ribosomal RNA, 693 nt
Filed under: uncultured archaeon
Lineage: Archaea
Description: bacterial SSU rRNA
Rfam family: Archaeal small subunit ribosomal RNA
Source: RNAcentral